Non-coding RNA from Cinara cedri, 548 nucleotides. The record is from the annotation of a GenBank genome assembly. Lineage: Eukaryota; Metazoa; Arthropoda; Insecta; Hemiptera; Aphididae.
GGCUACACCUUUCACGGCUACAUUCCAUUCACGGCUACACUCACAACUUUUGGCCACAGAAUGAUAUAAGUAGUAUUAGUACUUAGUAUAGUCGUGACAAGUACAAAAAUAUGAUAAUAUAUGUAGCUGAAUGUAAAUGGAUGGCAUUCAAUCCCCAUUCAGAAUCCCCCUAUUAUUCUUUAAUCAUCAUCAGGGUUCUGUAAUUUCCUGUUACGAUAGAUUCGUGAUGGAUCUUGGUUUCAAGUUUUCCAGUAAUCUAGACUUUUAGCUAGUAUAGAGUAGAUUCUCUAACUUUACUAUCCUUUAUACAUUUUAAAGUUCCACAAUACACCUCUCUUUCCACUACGACUUUUCUUGUCCCAUUGAGUAACCUAACCAAUUACUUAUCAAAUGAGUCUAUAAGAUGUAUAAUAUCUAAUGUCAAUGUUAACCCCACGUUUCUUAAUAAAUCACUUAUAUUUUCAUAUUUCAGCAAUUUGUAAUCAUUUACAUUUGUUAACUCUUUGCUUAUUGUUAUGACUUUCAAUUUAGAUACUAAGUGGAGCGAA